Cherax quadricarinatus is the source of this 388-nucleotide long non-coding RNA. RefSeq lists it as uncharacterized. Lineage: Eukaryota; Metazoa; Arthropoda; Malacostraca; Decapoda; Parastacidae. The record is from RefSeq and is a predicted model, not a curated record.
CGUAGAAAGGGCACCGGUAGACUCCUACACAUUAUGUAAGGUGCUCAGUGAUUGGUCACCAUGGGUAAGCUUGGUGAGGCUGAACCAAUAAGAGAGCUUCUUUCAUCUUAGUAUUAUCCUCCACAGCUGAUCACCUCGACACUCACAAGAUUAAAAAUGGCCGGUGAUUCAGGUGUAGACAGUUCCCAGUUCAAGGGUUUGUCUCGCUACUUUAAUGGAACCACAUUGGCUGGAAGAGCUAAUGUGGCAAAGGCAACAUAUGCAGUUGUGGGGCUCCUUAUUGCUUAUGCAGUGUUUAAACCUUCAAAGAAGUGAAUGUGAAAAUUUAUGCAUAUAUAUAUAUAUAUAUAAAUUAGCUCUGUCAUGUUAAUAAAUAGUACUUAGGUGU